CGCACAUUGCGCCCUUUGGUAUUCCGAAGGGCACAUCUGUUCGAGCGUCAUUACACCAAAUCAAGUCUCUUGGUAAUUGAAUGUUGUCUCUUGACACAUUCUAAAGACGUCAGCAGCAUCUCUAGAUCUCAUGCGAUACCAAUAGCGUUUAAGAUCGAAAGGUGCUUGUAAAUUUUCCAGGUUGACCUCGAAUCAGAUGGGGAUACCCGCUGAACUUAA
RNAcentral lists this unclassified non-coding RNA (219 nucleotides) under Pseudorobillarda sp. Its description in RNAcentral is "partial contains 5.8S ribosomal RNA, internal transcribed spacer 2, and large subunit ribosomal RNA". Lineage: Eukaryota; Fungi; Ascomycota; Dothideomycetes; Pleosporales. The record is from RNAcentral.